This 246-nucleotide unclassified non-coding RNA is filed under the name uncultured fungus. RNAcentral describes it as "sequence contains ITS1, 5.8S rRNA gene". Lineage: Eukaryota; Fungi. The record is from RNAcentral.
CUGAAGAAAUGGUAGGGUUGAUGCUGGCUCUUCGGAGUAUGUGCUCGCCUUAUCGCUUUUUCUACUUCUCCACCUGUGCACCUAUUGUAGAUCGUGUUGGAAAUCCUUUGUGGUUUCUCGUUCAUUUUGAACGGUUCAGAGGUCUUGCUUUUUAGCUAGACUUCGACUCUUCACGAUCUAUGUUAUAUCAACUCUUUAAAGUCUUUGAAUGUACUAGUUGGUCUUUAUUGACCGAUAAUUUUAAAA